Molecule: transfer RNA, 72 nt
Filed under: Bos taurus (domestic cattle)
Lineage: Eukaryota; Metazoa; Chordata; Mammalia; Artiodactyla; Bovidae
Also listed under: 5 other names
Rfam family: tRNA
About the family: Transfer RNA (tRNA) molecules are approximately 80 nucleotides in length. Their secondary structure includes four short double-helical elements and three loops (D, anti-codon, and T loops).
Source: Rfam by way of RNAcentral
UCCUUUGUAGCUUAGUUGGUAAAGAACCUGCCUGUAAUGCAGGAGACCUGGGUUCAAUUCUUGGGUCAGGAA